This 257-nucleotide unclassified non-coding RNA is filed under the name uncultured fungus. RNAcentral's name for it is "sequence contains ITS1". The stretch from base 1 to 117 matches the Rfam family "5.8S ribosomal RNA", at positions 49 to 154 of the family's 154-position model. The record is from RNAcentral. Lineage: Eukaryota; Fungi.
UGAAAGGCGAAACGUAAUGUGAAUCGCAACUAACAGUGAAUCAUUGAAUCUUUGAACGCAGGCCGCACCUUGCAUUAUCACUCUGUGCUAGUGCAAGGUAUUCACGUAUGAGUGUCAGCCAAAUAUACCUUUGGUUUGUGAGGGGAAUAUGUCUAGUACAAUUUCAACUUGCAAAUGCACAUGUGUCUAGCGACAUAUCUCUAAAGCAAUACACUCGUGUCUGGCCUCAUAUGUGAAAGGUUACCCGCUGGAUUUAA